AGAGUUUGAUCCUGGCUCAGGAUGAACGCUAGCGACAGGCCUAACACAUGCAAGUCGAGGGGCAUCGGGACGUAGCAAUACGUUGCCGGCGACCGGCGGAUGGGUGAGUAACGCGUAUGCAACCUACCCGUAGCAGGGGGAUAGCCCGUUGAAAGACGGAUUAAUACCCCGUAACACAGGGGCUCCGCAUGGAGAUUAUUGUUAAAGGGUCAUUUCUUUUAGAGGUGGUCCGGCUACGGAUGGGCAUGCGUUCCAUUAGGUAGUUGGUGUAGGUAACGGCUCACCAAGCCGACGAUGGAUAGGGGAACUGAGAGGUUGGUCCCCCACACUGGUACUGAGACACGGACCAGACUCCUACGGGAGGCAGCAGUGAGGAAUCUUGGUCAAUGGACGCAAGUCUGAACCAGCCAUGUCGCGUGAAGGAGGACGGCCCUAAGGGUUGUAAACUUCUUUUGCAGCGGAAUAAAGUUUGCCACGAGUUGGCGAUUUGCAAGUACGCUGCGAAUAAGGAUCGGCUAACUCCGUGCCAGCAGCCGCGGUAAUACGGAGGAUCCGGGCGUUAUCCGGAUUUAUUGGGUUUAAAGGGUGCGCAGGCGGGGAUUUAGGUCGGCGGUGAAAUUUCGGGGCUCAACCUCGAUAGUGCCGUUGAAACCGUUUCUCUUGAGUGCGGAUGAGGUAGGCGGAAUUUGUGGUGUAGCGGUGAAAUGCGUAGAUAUCACAAGGAACACCGAUUGCGGAGGCAGCUUACUAAACCGUUACUGACGCUCAUGCACGAAGGCGUGGGGAUCAAACAGGAUUAGAUACCCUGGUAGUCCACGCAGUAAACGAUGAUUACUUGCUGUUUGCGAUACACAGUAAGCGGCGUAGCGAAAGCGUUAAGUAAUCCACCUGGGGAGUACGUUCGCAAGAAUGAAACUCAAAGGAAUUGACGG
This 932-nucleotide ribosomal RNA is filed under the name uncultured bacterium. Its description in RNAcentral is "bacterial SSU rRNA". It matches the Rfam family "Bacterial small subunit ribosomal RNA", at positions 8 to 916 of the family's 1533-position model. The record is from RNAcentral.